Molecule: non-coding RNA, 22 nt
Filed under: Arabidopsis thaliana (thale cress)
Lineage: Eukaryota; Viridiplantae; Streptophyta; Magnoliopsida; Brassicales; Brassicaceae
Source: RNAcentral
UAGCUAACAGAUGAUUGUGAUG